GUGACUGAGUGGCGGGACGGUGAGUAACGCGUAGGGUAACCUGCCUCAUACGAGGGGGAUAACAGUUGGAAACGACUGCUUAAUACCGCAUAAGCGCACAGGACCGCAUGGUCUGGUGUGAAAAACUCCGGUGGUAUGAGAUGGACCCGCAUCUGAUUAGCUAGUUGGUGGGGUAACGGCCUACCAAGGCGACGAUCAGUAGCCGACCUGAGAGGGUGACCGGCCACAUUGGGACUGAGACACGGCCCAAACUCCUACGGGAGGCAGCAGUGGGGAAUAUUGCACAAUGGGCGAAAGCCUGAUGCAGCGACGCCGCGUGAGCGAAGAAGUAUUUCGGUAUGUAAAGCUCUAUCAGCAGGGAAGAAAAAAUGACGGUACCUGACUAAGAAGCACCGGCUAAAUACGUG
This 407-nucleotide ribosomal RNA is filed under the name uncultured bacterium. RNAcentral's name for it is "bacterial SSU rRNA". It matches the Rfam family "Bacterial small subunit ribosomal RNA", at positions 87 to 507 of the family's 1533-position model. The record is from RNAcentral.